Molecule: ribosomal RNA, 463 nt
Filed under: uncultured bacterium
Lineage: Bacteria
Description: partial 16S ribosomal RNA
Rfam family: Bacterial small subunit ribosomal RNA
Source: RNAcentral
GAUGAACGCUGACAGAAUGCUUAACACAUGCAAGUCUUUGGCGAAGCUGUGCUUGCACAGCCUAGCCAAGGCGGACGGGUGAGUAACGCGUAAGGAACUUGCCCUGCAGUCAGGGAUAACAGACGGAAACGACUGAUAAGACCUGGUAAAGUCAGGCGGACUCAUGUCCAGCCUGAUGUAAAGAGAUGCUGCAGGAGAGCCUUGCGUCCUAUUAGCUUGUUGGUGGGGUAACGGCCCACCAAGGCGAUGAUAGGUAGCCGGCCUGAGAGGGUGGACGGCCACAAGGGGACUGAGAUACGGCCCUUACUCCUACGGGAGGCAGCAGUGGGGAAUAUUGGACAAUGGGGGCAACCCUGAUCCAGCAAUUCUGUGUGCACGAUGAAGGUUUUCGGAGUGUAAAGUGCUUUCAGCAGGGAAGAAAAAAAUGACGGUACCUGCAGAAGAAGCGACGGCUAAAUACGUG